RNAcentral lists this ribosomal RNA (443 nucleotides) under uncultured bacterium. RNAcentral describes it as "partial 16S ribosomal RNA". It matches the Rfam family "Bacterial small subunit ribosomal RNA", at positions 338 to 795 of the family's 1533-position model. The record is from RNAcentral.
CCUACGGGUGGCAGCAGUGGGGAAUAUUGGGCAAUGGGCGCAAGCCUGACCCAGCAACGCCGCGUGAAGGAAGAAGGCUCUCUGGUUGUAAACUUCUUUUCUGAGGGACGAAGAAAGUGACGGUACCACAGGAAUAAGUCACGGCUAACUACGUGCCAGCAGCCGCGGUAAUACGUAGGUGGCAAGCGUUAUCCGGAUUUAUGGGGUGUAAAGGGAGUGUAGGCGGGAAAGCAAGGCAGAUGUGAAAACUCAGGGCUCAACCCUGAGCCUGCAUUUGAAACUGUUUUUCUUGAGUGCUGGAGAGGCAAUCGGAAUUCAUGGUGUAGCGGUGAAAUGCGUAGAUAUACGGAGGAACGCCAGUGGCGAAGGCGGAUUGCUGGACUGUAACUGACGCUGAUGCGCGAAAGCGUGGGGAGCAAACAGGAUUAGAUACCCCAGUAGUC